RNAcentral lists this ribosomal RNA (480 nucleotides) under uncultured bacterium. Its description in RNAcentral is "bacterial SSU rRNA". It matches the Rfam family "Bacterial small subunit ribosomal RNA", at positions 28 to 526 of the family's 1533-position model. The record is from RNAcentral.
AACGAACGCUGGCGGCAUGCCUAACACAUGCAAGUCGAACGCUUUUGGGGCUUCGGCCCCAAGGGAGUGGCGCACGGGUGAGUAGCGCGUGGGAACCUGCCCUGUUGUGGGGGAUAACCGAGGGAAACUUCGGCUAAUACCGCAUGCGCCCGGAGCGAUCUUCGGAUCGAACCGGGGAAAGAUUUAUCGCAGCAGGAGGGGCCCGCGUCCGAUUAGCUAGUUGGCGGGGUAACGGCCCACCAAGGCACCGAUCGGUAGCUGGUCUGAGAGGAUGAUCAGCCACACUGGGACUGAGACACGGCCCAGACUCCUACGGGAGGCAGCAGUGGGGAAUAUUGGACAAUGGGCGCAAGCCUGAUCCAGCAAUGCCGCGUGAGUGAUGAAGGCCUUAGGGUUGUAAAGCUCUUUCGCCCGCGACGAUGAUGACGGUAGCGGGAGAAGAAGCCCCGGCUAACUUCGUGCCAGCCGCCGCCGUAACAC